GUAAAAACCUGGGAGGCUGCAACCCAUGGAAGCUGUACGCAUGGGGUAGCAGA
RNAcentral lists this long non-coding RNA (53 nucleotides) under dengue virus type 1. RNAcentral describes it as "dengue virus type I partial sfRNA1". Lineage: Riboviria; Orthornavirae; Kitrinoviricota; Flasuviricetes; Amarillovirales; Flaviviridae. The record is from RNAcentral.